AGAAACUUAGGAUUAAUUUAAACCCACAGCCUUCAAAGCUGUUAAAAAGAGACAACCUCUUAGUUCCU
This 68-nucleotide transfer RNA is filed under the name Brookesia ramanantsoai. RNAcentral's name for it is "partial tRNA-Trp". The record is from RNAcentral. Lineage: Eukaryota; Metazoa; Chordata; Lepidosauria; Squamata; Chamaeleonidae.